RNAcentral lists this ribosomal RNA (793 nucleotides) under Methanosaeta sp. enrichment culture clone LA_48. RNAcentral's name for it is "bacterial SSU rRNA". It matches the Rfam family "Archaeal small subunit ribosomal RNA", at positions 85 to 879 of the family's 1478-position model. Lineage: Archaea; Methanobacteriati; Methanobacteriota; Methanomicrobia; Methanotrichales; Methanotrichaceae. The record is from RNAcentral.
ACGGCUCAGUAACACGUGGACAACCUACCCUUGGGUCUGGCAUAAUCCUGGGAAACUGGGUAUAAUUCCAGAUAGGUCACAGAUGCUGGAAUGCACUGUGGCCGAAAGCUCCGGCGCCCAAGGAUGGGUCUGCGGCCUAUCAGGUAGUAGUGGGUGUAGCGUACCUACUAGCCUACGACGGGUACGGGUUGUGAGAGCAAGAGCCCGGAGAUGGAUUCUGAGACACGAAUCCAGGCCCUACGGGGUGCAGCAGGCGCGAAAACUUUACAAUGCUGGCAACAGCGAUAAGGGAACCUCGAGUGCCAGGUUACAAAUCUGGCUGUCGAGAUGCCUAAAAAGCAUUUCAUAGCAAGGGCCGGGCAAGACCGGUGCCAGCCGCCGCGGUAACACCGGCGGCUCGAGUGGUAACCGUUAUUAUUGGGUCUAAAGGGUCUGUAGCCGGCCGGAUAAGUCUCUUGAGAAAUCUGGCAGCUUAACUGUCAGGCUUUCAGGAGAUACUGUCUGGCUCGAGGCCGGGAGAGGUGAGAGGUACUUCAGGGGUAGGGGUGAAAUCUUGUAAUCCUUGAAGGACCACCAGUGGCGAAGGCGUCUCACCAGAACGGACCUGACGGCAAGGGACGAAAGCUAGGGGCACGAACCGGAUUAGAUACCCGGGUAGUCCUAGCCGUAAACGAUACUCGCUAGGUGUCGGCCACGGUGCGACCGUUGUCGGUGCCGUAGGGAAGCCGUGAAGCGAGCCACCUGGGAAGUACGGCCGCAAGGCUGAAACUUAAAGGAAUUGGCGGGGGAGCAC